CAGACUGAAGGAAGGAUGUAAACUCCAGGCCAGCACAGGUUCAGAAUCUCUAUUCACACAGCUGUACCAGCAAAUUUGAGACUCUGGAGACCCUGUAUAAGGCAUCUGCCUGGUGGGCUGUGGGUUUCCUUCUUACAACUGGUGAAGAUCUGAACAAGUUCAAACUGCAGGUUCAACACUGACACACCGGAAUACACUGACCGCACCAACUGUCUGACUCAUCUCAAAGGCGCCCUGUGCACUCCUCCAAAGAGCCGGUCUGCAGCCAGACUCAUGUGACCUCUUCAUAACAUCUGCCAGGAAGCAUAUCUUCAGCUCUGUCCUAUACGCCCUUGAGGAAUAUUGGCUUUCAGCACUGUAUAUUUGACCAAUGUCCAAAUAUCUUACAAUGUAAUUAAUUAAAAGUGAGCUAUAGAUAUUACGUUCCUGUGUGACACUGUAGGCUGUUGGGUCUUGUCAAUGAGUAUAUUCAGAUUGUUUAUAAUUAAAAUAGAAAAACGAAACUAAGGAUAUCAGGCCUUAAGGCUACAAUCAGAGUUUUCUGCAAUUUUCAGCCAGUUACUCAUUCAUAAAAUAAUCAUUUUAAACAUUACAAACUAAUAGUGUCUAUUUUUAGCGAACAAGGGUUUUCCCACAGUUCAGGGACCAUUCUACUCAAAAAUGAUUACCUGGUCAUUGGAUUUCUGUGGCAAGGUGCCUGGAAGCUAUUUAUAUCUUAAGAUAAAUGCUUAUCUGAGAGGUCCAAGCAAUUACAUGCUUGAGUUAUUGUACUGCUUGCAGCUCUUUACCCUGUGCAGGGAAACAUUCAUUGUUAGCACCGUAAUGACAGGGCUCUUAUUUAAUGGCUCCCUUGUCUGCUCAUGUUGUACAGUAUGUAAGUAUUCAAACAAAGAAAAAACCUUUACUCCUUUUUCCAACAAGUCAUGUGGUUGCCAAUCCUCUCCUAUCAAUCCGUUCAUUCAAAAAAUGCAAUACAUGAUGAAUAGAACAUAUAGUAUACCAGAAUGGCGAACUUUGUGUCUUCCUUACAAUCACUUCUUAAAAUGUACUUUUAUCAGAAGGCAUUCCUUUAGUCUUUGAUUAGUUUAUUUCUUAUAGUUUUUGUUUUAUGCUGCUUUUAGAUUGCUUUUCAUCCUCUAUUUUAAUAUGUAUUCAUUUCUUUCUAUUAGUCUACUGUAUUUUAUCUCCUUGUUAUUAUUUUCAUUUCUGUGUAAAGAACUUUGUAGCUCUGUUUUGAAAAGUUCUAUAUAAAUAAAGAUUAUUAUUAUUAUUACUGCUCUAUUAUGCAAUGGAAUAUAUAUCUAGAUUUUAUAACAUGUUGAAAUUUAAGAAUUGAUGUUGAAUACAAUACACAAAUACAUAAAUAAAUCUGUUUUUCAAAGGUAAAUAUUAUCAUUAGCAUUCUGCUCCAGGCUUAGGAUGUCAAAUAUAUUUGAUUCAUCCAUGCAGCGAACACCUCCAUUUACACUGAUUUGACGCAUGCCAUAAUAGGUAUAGUCAUUUAGUUUUACUGCUUGCUUGAAAUAGUAACCUUGCACCAUUAACACAAAGCAGUAUUACUGUUUCUACAUUUCAAUAUGUCAUCAUAGAUAUCAAUUUUAUUUCCAUUUGUUUAUUCAUAGUAUGUCCCCCAUUCAGCUCAGCAUGUCUUGCGCUAUUGGAAUUCAUGAAUGGCUUUGAAAUAUUCCACCUACAAUCUAUUAAUCAAUUAGACUGUGGGUCUGCAUUCCAUUCUCAAUAUUGGACACAAAUACAAGCUCCUGCACCUAGUUUAUGUUUUUUAUUUAUUUAUUUUAUUUUAGGCUCCACCCACUUCUGAUGCACUGAUGACUUGACAUAAAUGGCAUUACUGCAGAUUACGUAUUAAUGCAGUUUGAACUGGAGAGCAGUUACCGCGGUUUGUCUAAUGCACUCUGCCAUGUGCCUCGAAUCACUACAGUGGAUUGUGCCUCUAUUCAUGGAAAGCUCCUCCCAUAGGGAAUAUUCCUCUGUAAAUGAAUCCUACCAUACUGCUGCAUUCAUAAAAUAAAUGUUAGCCACCCCCAUGUGAAACACCCUGCACCUGAAUAUUCUUCUUGCACAAAUAAGAGUCUCUUGUAGUUGUCAUGACCCACAAAAUAAUGCAAAUUAACAACGAGGACAGUAAGGUUAUAAAGGCCAAUACUAUGAAUAUCAGAGAGGAUAUCUGCUGAAAAUCAACAUGCAGUUUUGUAGAAAUUGGUCACCAAGCGGAAAUAGAAUAUGUCCUUUGCAUAUAUGAUAUUUAUGAAGUGCAACCACCAAUCAGAAUGAAAGCACUUUCGCUCUAGCGUUUCAUGGUACCCAUCAAGGAGGGUGGCUCCCAUUGCCAGAAAGAAAAGAUGGUACCAAACAAGCACUCAAUCACCAUCAUAACUUGCACUGUACACAUUACAUGAACAAGAAAUAUUUCAUUAUUAUAAAUACUUAUUGAAAUGGACUGAAAUUAUUAGGUUAUAUUAAAAUUUUGUGUAUUUAUGUGUAUAUUUCUGGCUCUUCCGAAAAGAUUUUAUUACAUAACAAUUGUCUCACAGGAUAAAAAAUCAAUAAAAAGCUUGUGUUAGCUGAAAAUAAAGCACUUGCAUUUGUUAUGAGUACGAGUGUGGUCAUAAUGCAAGUGUGCUAAUGUUAUCUAGAGCUGAUAGUGUCAUUAUAAGGAAGCACUUACCAUGUUAAUUGUUUACCUGUCAAGGAACUACAGGGAAAAUUUGGUUUAUAACUCUAAUCUUUGGUACUAACAGAAAUGUUGAUAAAUGCGUAUUGUCCCUAACAAACCAGCAAAGAAACAAACAAAUUUCAAGUACAUUUUUAAUCAUUUCUUCUAGUUCAUUGUUUGUUUGCUUUGAAUAUAAUCUGGAUAUUCUCUUUCAUUUCUGUACAUUUGCCAUGAAAAUAAUUCUGAUUAAUAUUAUUAAGUAGCAGCUUUCUGAAUGUUGGAAUGUUUUUUCUGACUAUGAACCACUAGAGUAGAACAUUGAAGGGUAAGGUUAUUCAUUUAACAAAGGCUUGUCUUCUACAAUGAAAAUAUUUCUGCAUAAAGGUUCUAUAACAUAUAUUUAAAAACUAUAAAAAUGUAUUU
Molecule: long non-coding RNA, 3097 nt
Organism: Anguilla anguilla (European eel)
Lineage: Eukaryota; Metazoa; Chordata; Actinopteri; Anguilliformes; Anguillidae
Exons: 2
Source: RefSeq, a predicted model, not a curated record